Molecule: transfer RNA, 75 nt
Filed under: Cutibacterium modestum
Lineage: Bacteria; Bacillati; Actinomycetota; Actinomycetes; Propionibacteriales; Propionibacteriaceae
Description: tRNA-Ile
Source: RNAcentral
UCGUGCAACUGGGUCAGGGUAGGCAGAGCGGCCUUGAUACGGCCGUCGUCGGUGAUCUUGUCCCCAUCGAGCGGG